RNAcentral lists this ribosomal RNA (459 nucleotides) under uncultured bacterium. Its description in RNAcentral is "partial 16S ribosomal RNA". It matches the Rfam family "Bacterial small subunit ribosomal RNA", at positions 338 to 795 of the family's 1533-position model. The record is from RNAcentral.
CCUACGGGUGGCAGCAGUGAGGAAUAUUGGUCAAUGGGAGAGAUCCUGAACCAGCCAAGCCGCGUGAGGGAAGACGGCCCUAUGGGUUGUAAACCGCUUUUGUCGGAGAACAAAACCCGGGACGUGUCCCGGGCUGAGUGUAUCGGAAGAAAAAGCAUCGGCUAACUCCGUGCCAGCAGCCGCGGUAAUACGGAGGAUGCGAGCGUUAUCCGGAUUUAUUGGGUUGAAAGGGGGCGUAGGCGGUCCGUUAAGUCAGCGGUAAAAGUGCGGGGCUCAACCCCGUCGAGCCGUUGAAACUGGGAGACUUGAGUUGGCGAGAAGUACGCGGAAUGUGCGGUGUAGCGGUGAAAUGCAUAGAUAUCGCGCAGAACUCCGAUUGCGAAGGCAGCGUACCGGCGCCAGACUGACGCUGAGGCACGAAAGCGUGGGGAUCGAACAGGAUUAGAUACCCCGGUAGUC